CCCUGGCGCUGCUGCCAAAGAAGCUGUGAGUGCCCCGUCCCUAGAGGUACUCACGGCCGGGUUGGAUGUGGCUCUUGGCAGCCUCAGCUGCUGGGUGGGAGCCCUGCCCAUGGCAGGGGUUUGGCACUGAUAGUCUUUAAGGACCCUUCCAACCCAAACCAUACUACGAUGUGAAGCCCGAAUCUUGUCCUGCCUCCUUUCUGAUAAGAGAAGCGAUACAGCACACCUCAGAACUGUCCUGCUGGCUUGUAGUAGCGCAUCUUUCCCUGUGACUCUAUGUGUUUAAACGUAGCAUAGCAAAAACUCUUAUUACAUAUUUUUUCUUUCUGUUUUUGUGUUAAUGUGCAGAAGGCCGCUGCUGAGAGGAGUCCUCAGGAAGCCGUUGGAGAGCUCAGAGACAGGAGCAGAGGAUGACGCAGCAGGGAGCUGUUCUUCAAGGUUACAACAACGAGCUCGUCAAGUGUAUUGAAGACUUGUGUAUGCAAAAAGAGGAGCUGAACAAACAGAUCCAGCAAGCAGAAGAGGAAAAAAGUAAACUCCAGCAUGAAAUUCAAGUUCUGAAUGAACAGUUGGAGUGCGUGUGUGAAAACCUGGCUCAGAAGGUAGCUUCACGAAAUGAGCUUGAUAAAAUUCUUGCUGAAACUGAAGCUGCUUACAUGAAGAUUUUGGAUAGUUCCAGAACUUUGCUUAAUGUCCUGAAGAAGGAAGUGGGAAGCUUAAAGCAUGCGCCAGAACUGAAAAGUAAUGUAACCUGAAGCUGUCAAAUGUCUGGACUUGGCAAUUCUAAAAUCCCACUAGGAUGCUAAAACUGAAAAAAGGAAUCACAGAAUCAGAGAAUCACCAAGGCUGGAAAAGACCUUCAGGAUCAUGCAGUCCAACCAGUCACCUAUCACCAAUAGUUCUCACUAAACCACGUUCCUCAACACAGAAUCCAACCAUUCCUUGAACACCUCCAGGGUCGGUGACUCCACCACCUCCCUGGGCAGUCCAUUCCAGUGCCUAACCACUCCUUCAGAGAAGUACUAUUUAAAAAAAAUUGAGUCUUUAAAGAUGUGUACUUCACAACCUUUAUUUCCUCAAAGUGCAGCUGUAUACUUGGAAAUGUAUUUAAGUUCAGAUCCAUAAAUGGAGAGCAAUAGUAGUAUAUCUCCAGGGCUGUUGUCAAGUGACUGCAGCCUGGCAGUCAUUGGGAAGUGCACCAGUGUAGCUCAAAAAUGCCUCCUGCCUUUAUAUUUUGUAUUGACCCAAAUUAUUUUAGUGCAUCCUAUUACUGAAGUCAAAAGCUUUUUUCAAGUGCAUGGGUGUUCUGUCUUUUUGUCAGAAGUUAGGUAUAUUGCAAAUCUUGGCAUAGAAAGCUUUUCUUUAAUAGUUUAAGUUUAUUUAGAAAACAAACUAAGGCAUUGCUAGAAUAGAACUGGUAAUGUGGAGAUGACAGCAGCUGUGUAAGGUUAGCCUGCAAAGGAAAGUUUGCCUGAAAUAAGACUGGCUAUAAAUCUAAAGCAUCAUAUUUGUUCCUGGCUUUAUAUAUAUAUAUAUUUUGUCAAUUUUUAUAUGGCUUUGAGGGUUACACCCAGUAAGAUACAUGUCUAUUACAAGCUAGAAGCUGUAAUGGCAAAGUUUGUGUUACUGAUCUGUGGUGCUGGAUCAGAAGCUGUGCUGGGUGUGUUGUGCCUUAUUUGCUGAACGAAGACACACAGAUUUUGGAAUGCUUAUCUGUGCUUGAUUCAAAGCUUCAGUGAGAUACAUCCAGAGCACUGGGAUCACUUCCUGACUUAACGUCAUGGUGCUUCUUCUACCUGGCUUGCAAGUAACAGUGUGGAACUGGAGGAGAGCUGUAAGUGUAUUUGUAGUGAGCCAUAACCUGCAGUUCCUGCUGCCCAAUAAAUCCAAUUUUGGAUAUCAACUGAGGCUGACCAUAAGUCAGGACAGCCUCCCUCAUAUUUCCUCUUCCUGGACUUUUAUUCUCCUGGCCAAAUAAGUUGGCGUGUUCUGCUUUGCAGUGACCAGCUCCAACAGGAGGCUAUUGGGAGCACUGUCCAGAGGGUCUGAGCAGAGCAAUGUCCUGAGAGAGGUGAUGCUUUGCCUUCCUGUAAGGUGAGAGAGCCCCAAGCCUGAGCUUGCAGCUUGUUGAGUACGUGUGCUGCCAGGCCUGUUACUGUUUGUAGCUCCUAGGAACAGCAAUUGGUGAACUGCUGGGUCUGACAAAGAACCCCAAAUCCUGUCAGUUUAUCAGAUGCACUCAGUGUUCUGUUUCCUUUUUUUUCAGAUUGAUCUUGAGGAAUGUCAGGUUUUUGGAUUCUGAACAUGGUGAAUGCAUGAGGUUUCCUCAGACUUGAUGGAAUUUUAGAUGCCCAAAGAACUGUCUGUUCAAAUGAUGAAGCAACCUGUAAUCUAAACAGACAAACAGGGCUACAGGCACACCGCAGCUACCGCUACAGCAAAUUCGACAAGAUCUCUGUACGGACUUGAAAAUCUCCUUUAGCUGUAGCAUUGAAAAUCACGGUGUCAAACUCACCACGCCUGAGCAGAGGAGCAGAGCAGCCGGACCAUCGCCCUCUGGAGGUGUGACUGAUCACGGUUCCACCGCUGGAUGCAGGAGCUUCGGUUUCUCUGGCACGUCUCACCCCAAGGCACGGGAAGUCACCUUGCUGUCUAUACAAAUUCCUAUUUGUAGUGUUAUUUUUGCUGUUUUAUUUUUAUGAACCUCCUGAUACAAGAGACGUAUUCUGAUCAGAUGUGAUUAUGAAUCUCUCUUCCAGAGACAAAAUCUUUUUUUUUUUUUUUUUUGUAUUCUGCAUGCUUUAAAUUGUUUAAAGCCUC
RNA transcript from Tympanuchus pallidicinctus (lesser prairie-chicken), 2820 nucleotides. It is a transcript of the gene named microtubule nucleation factor SSNA1-like, with no coding region annotated. Lineage: Eukaryota; Metazoa; Chordata; Aves; Galliformes; Phasianidae. The transcript is spliced from 4 exons. The record is from RefSeq and is a predicted model, not a curated record.